RNAcentral lists this ribosomal RNA (484 nucleotides) under uncultured bacterium. Its description in RNAcentral is "partial 16S ribosomal RNA". It matches the Rfam family "Bacterial small subunit ribosomal RNA", at positions 30 to 507 of the family's 1533-position model. The record is from RNAcentral.
AUUGAACGCUGGCGGCAGGCCUAACACAUGCAAGUCGAGCGGAUGAAGGGAGCUUGCUCCUGGAUUCAGCGGCGGACGGGUGAGUAAUGCCUAGGAAUCUGCCUGGUAGUGGGGGAUAACGUCGGGAAACGGCCGCUAAUACCGCAUACGUCCUGAGGGAGAAAGGGGGGGAUCUUCGGACCUCACCCUAUCAGAUGAGCCUAGGUCGGAUUAGCUAGUUGGUGGGGUAAAGGCCUACCAAGGCGACGAUCCGUAACUGGUCUGAGAGGAUGAUCAGUCACACUGGAACUGGAACACGGUCCAGACUCCUACGGGAGGCAGCAGUGGGGAAUAUUGGACAAUGGGCGAAAGCCUGAUCCAGCCAUGCCGCGUGUGUGAAGAAGGUCUUCGGAUUGUAAAGCACUUUAAGUUGGGAGGAAGGGCAGUAAGUUAAUACCUUGCUGUUUUGACGUUACCAACAGAAUAAGCACCGGCUAACUUCGUG